UGUUGCCUAAAGGGUUAGUAGUAAUAGACCGGGUUAGUCAGAUGCACUCUUUCUCCUAGUGGUAAAAAAAUAAAUACGAUACUCUAGAUAACCUCCCGGGUGAAGUGCUCACCGAUAUCCGUGCGCUUGCGGAUCAAUUCCUUAUUGCGUUCCCAAAUAUCAACAAGGGCUAUGGCCAAACACAAAAGCAUUGAGUGUGUGUGACCAAAAGAAUGAAGCAGCGAUUAGCAGUGACUCAUUCCUCUCCAUAUCGGCAAGGGACAACCUAAUGCACUGGUCCAAUUUUCGCUCGCCCCAUUGAACCUCAUUUGAGUGGCUGACUCUCAAGAACCAAUCCUUCCAUCCCUUGGUGGGACUGGGCCAGGAACGGAAGGCAUCUUUCCAUAGAUCUAGGGAGAAGUUUUCGGCUCUAAAAGGAACUCUGUUUGUCUCUGCGUUUAUCAGAUUGUUGGGAUCUGGGUUUCCUAGCGGGCCAAGACAUUGGAGGUGAGGUUGAUCGGUAGGAAUAACGAUCUUAUCGGCCAAAUCCUAGAAGUUUUUGAGGGUAAAAAAAGAACAAAAAGAAAAAGGAAUAUUCAGUAAGACAAAUUGCGGAUGAACAGGAGUGCAGUAAAAGUGCAGGAGAAAGGGUGGUAGGCUAACCUCAGGAACGACGAAGUUGAUGGCCAUCUCCUCGCAGGGAAGAAGAUCGAAGACUUGGGGGUUGAUGAAGAAAGGCCCUUGUUGAAGUUCUUAGAGUCCUCGGGUAAUGCCGCCGCCGUGAAAAUGGAUUUUGGGCUGUAGAAUGACAAGAUUUAGGAAGAGUACUGGAGAAAGAAGUAUUUAUAGGACAAGACGGACAGGGGCAAAUCUGACUUAUGUCUUCGCCGCAUCCAUGAAAUCCUAGGGUGCUC
Molecule: long non-coding RNA, 893 nt
Filed under: Sorghum bicolor (sorghum)
Lineage: Eukaryota; Viridiplantae; Streptophyta; Magnoliopsida; Poales; Poaceae
Description: long non-coding RNA (SBIC_LNC006542)
Source: RNAcentral